CCUAACCUUUCCAACCAUUGCAUCUGAGACCCUUUUGGCUGAUUUCCAUCCAUUUUUCCAUCAGUUGACCACCAAAAUUGAGUUUGACCAUAUUUUAAUCAACUAAAAGGGGGCAAAAUGGUAAUUUUUCAUUUACCACAUUAAACAAAUAAAAAAAUUAAAUAAAAAACUUAAAAAUAAAUAAAAGAAAAAUAAAAGUCUCUCUUCCCCACCCCACCCCAAAAACCAAAAUCACACAGCUGUCCUCAACCAUUGCCGUCAAUGUCGACACCUACACCGCAAACUGCCGACGAUGCCCUUUCCGCCUACACCCAUGCUGGCCGCAACGCCCCUUCCGGCUAACACCAUGCCGACAACCACAAAUGACUCCUCUCGAGCCUAUCUCAUUUCAAUUUGAUGCAUCCCCCUUACUUCAAGCAAUGAAUUCAACCGAAAAAAAAUGCAAUUCAGGUCCUAACAACUCUGGAAAAUACACAAUUGAUUUCCCAAUUCGCGACCCACACACGAAUUCAAAUAAUCCCACUAGGCCUGAAUCCAGCAUUUGAAGUUUGAUAACGCACAAACAUCUCAUCAAUUUUUCACUCAAAACCAAAUUCGAAUAUUGCAGAGAUUUGAGGCUGCAAGAAAAAGGGAGGGAGAGCCGAAUGAACAUGAGGACUUUGAUGAGAGGGUGGAAUUUGGGCUAGGAUUUGAAGUUGAAAUCGUGCCAAUCUCCGUUGGGUUGACAAGCCGAGUUCCGUUGGGUUGCGUUGAGAAGCCGAUUUGAAGUUGCAAUCUUUGAAAUCGUCGCGAGCUCUGGGUUGAGAAGCCAAUUUGCGUUGGAGCCAGUGAUGGAGAAGAUCGAGUGGAUUUUCUAGCUACG
Molecule: long non-coding RNA, 862 nt
Filed under: Olea europaea subsp. europaea
Lineage: Eukaryota; Viridiplantae; Streptophyta; Magnoliopsida; Lamiales; Oleaceae
Source: RNAcentral